UAUUUCCUGCAGCGUUCGAGACUCGCUGGGUUACUUCUUGAGCCUAAUCUAAAACCCCGGGAGCUUCCGGCGGUUGAUGUGCGCAAGUCCGCCCCGAGCGGAAAGCCUGAUUCGACCAUCGCUGAUCCCACCUGAACCAUUGGUUCAAGGGCGAAAGCGUGUCACGGCGCAGGCGGGAGAUAC
RNAcentral lists this non-coding RNA (183 nucleotides) under Methylococcaceae bacterium. Its description in RNAcentral is "6S RNA". It matches the Rfam family "6S / SsrS RNA". Rfam says of the family: E. coli 6S RNA was the first non coding RNA to be sequenced, but its function was unknown until recently. It consists of 184 nucleotides that fold into an extended hairpin structure with a large single-stranded internal bulge. Lineage: Bacteria; Pseudomonadati; Pseudomonadota; Gammaproteobacteria; Methylococcales; Methylococcaceae. The record is from RNAcentral.